GGGUCAGUAGGUUGGUCGUGCCACCGGUACGUACUGGUCUCACUGAUUCCUCCUUCCUGAAGAACCGUAAUGCCAUUAAUUUGGUGUGGCGGGGAAACAGGACUGUUACUUUGAAAAAAUUAGAGUGUUUAAAGCAAGCUAACGCUUGAAUACAUUAGCAUGGAAUAACGAAAUAGGACGAUCGAUCCUAUUUUGUUGGUUUCUAGGAUUGACGUA
Molecule: ribosomal RNA, 216 nt
Filed under: Glomeromycotina sp.
Lineage: Eukaryota; Fungi; Glomeromycota
Description: partial small subunit ribosomal RNA
Rfam family: Eukaryotic small subunit ribosomal RNA (bases 40-216)
Source: RNAcentral